UAACAUUGUGGGUAAUGGCCUCUGGUGUA
Molecule: non-coding RNA, 29 nt
Filed under: Mus musculus (house mouse)
Lineage: Eukaryota; Metazoa; Chordata; Mammalia; Rodentia; Muridae
Source: RNAcentral